RNAcentral lists this ribosomal RNA (480 nucleotides) under uncultured bacterium. RNAcentral describes it as "partial 16S ribosomal RNA". The record is from RNAcentral.
CACGUAGUUAGCCGUGGCUUAUUCGUCAGGUACCGUCAUCAUCUUCCCUGACAAAAAGAGGUUUACAACCCGAAGGCCUUCAUCCCUCACGCGGCGUUGCUGCGUCAGACUUUCGUCCAUUGCGCAAAAUUCCCGACUGCUGCCUCCCGUAGGAGUCUGGGCCGUGUCUCAGUCCCAGUCUGGGUGAUCGUCCUCUCAGACCACCUACCGAUCGUCGCCUUGGUGAGCCGUUACCCCACCAACGAGCUAAUCGGACGCAGGCCCCUCCCGAAGCGCCUUGCGGCUUUACUGGUGUGAUCGAACACACCACCACAUGCGGUAUUAGCCACCCUUUCGGGCAGUUAUUCCCCACUUCGGGGUAGGUCACCUACGCGUUACUCAGCCGUCCGCCACUAACGAUCAGAGCAAGCCCUCAUCGUCCGUUCGACUUGCAUGUCUCAUGCACGCCGCCAGCGUUUAUCCUGAGCCAGGAUCAAACUC